CUACGUAGGGGGCGAGCGUUGUCCGGAAUGAUUGGGCGUAAAGGGCGCGUAGGCGGCCCGGUAAGUCUGGAGUGAAAGUCCUGUUUUUAAGAUGGGAAUUGCUUUGGAUACGGUCGGGCUUGAGUGCAGGAGAGGUAAGUGGAAUUCCCAGUGUAGCGGUGAAAUGCGUAGAGAUUGGGAGGAACACCAGUGGCGAAGGCGACUUACUGGACUGUAACUGACGCUGAGGCGCGAAAGUGUGGGGAGCAAACAGGAUUAGAUACCCUGGUAGUCCACACUGUAAACGAUGAAUGCUAGGUGUAGGGGGUAUCGACCCCUUCUGUGCCGCAGUCAACACAAUAAGCAUUCCGCCUGGGGAGUACGGCCGCAAGGUUGAAACUCAAAGGAAUUGACGGGG
This 397-nucleotide ribosomal RNA is filed under the name uncultured bacterium. Its description in RNAcentral is "partial 16S ribosomal RNA". It matches the Rfam family "Bacterial small subunit ribosomal RNA", at positions 523 to 918 of the family's 1533-position model. The record is from RNAcentral.